AGAGAGAGCGAAAUAGGAAAUAGAAACAGCGAGAGGGAGAAGUAGGAAACAAACAGUAGCACUAGCGGUAGUUAUUUUCAACCAUUAAAAUGAUGAUUUGGUUUGACGGGUCCAUACCCGAUGCCAUUAAUUUGGUUAAACAGAAAAAGCUCAUCUUUGUCAUCGUCAUUAUAGGUGAAGAUGAACAGUCACAAAACCUGGUGGCUAGCUGGGAGGAUGACGAUGUCUCAGAGAUGACUCAAAAAUGCUGUGUGGCCAUUAAAGUUGAUGCCAAGAGUGAUACCUGUGUGCAGUUUUCACAGAUUUAUCCAGUGGUGUGCAUUCCCUCAAGUUUCUUUAUUGGGGAAAAUGGCAUUCCUUUGGAGGUCAUUGCUGGAAGUGUGUCUCCCACAGAACUACAGAUUCGAAUCAACAAAGUACAACAAAUGCAUGGACAAAAAAUUGCCCCUGGCAUGGUGUCACAAGACAUAUCUGCAACUGUGAUCAGCCAAACGCAACCAGCCAAUGCUGCGCUCUCAGCUCCAUCAAUGCCCUUCAUAUCACCAGAAGAUGUCAUGAGUUCCGCUGCGGUGGAUGGAAACAAAGUAAUUGGAUCUCGACAGUCACCUAUGACUAUUGCAGCAAGUGGACAUUCAGAUCAUACAGGUUUAUCUUGUAUGAGUGAAGAAAUCCUUGAUUUACAAAAACUUAACAUGGAACCAGAUGAGUGGCAUCAGCAAAAUACAACACUGACAGAAGAGGAUCGAGUUGAUAGAGCAGCCAGUUAUUCCAAAUACUUGGAAGAGAAGGCUCAGCAAGUAAAACUGCAGACAGAGCUGGAAGCAAUGAAGGGUACCUCUGUGAGGCCAAGGAGUAAUGUCACAAGGCUCCAGUUUCGCCUCCCAGAUGGCUCAACCUUCACCAACCAGUUCUCCUCACACAGCAAACUUCAGGAAGCUCAACAUUUUGUUCAACAGGAAAUUAGAAGCCGCUAUGGCAACCUUUCAAUGGCCACCAUGUUCCCGAGGAGGGAAUUCACCAGUGAAGACCUUGAUAAGACUUUAUUGGAGCUUCAACUUUCUCCAAGCUCAUCCAUUGUACUUCUGCCUGUAUGUUUUCCCUCAGCGUCAAACGUUUGCCUCCUCCACCGUCCCCCACAAUGCCUUGUGCUUGUCAUUCCCUCUUCUCUUCGCAUUGUCACCCAACGGCAAAGUCUGGCACACCUGUUUCCACAGUUGUCCCGUCCACUAAGGGUGGUACAUGGGCUGUCCUCAGCACAGUCUUCUACCCAGUUCUCACUAUUUGGCGAUUCCUCCGCUCUUUCAUGUUUCUGACCCGACCCCAAGAAACAUCAAGAAGUUCUCAAACCUGGUCUCAGUCUUACACCAACUCAGCCACAUGUUCUGAUGAACCAAACAGGGAAUCUCUUUCCAGGCCUUUUGAGAAUCGUUCUAAGAACUUCAAGAAUGAUGGUAACAUAUGCCAGCUCAGGUCUCAAGAGGACAGUGAGGAUGAUAACAGUACCUGGAAUGGGAACUCAACACAGCAAAUGUAGCUUUUUUUUCUCCAUCUGCUCCCAUCCGAACAUCGCCACCACUACUACCCCAUCUUAGUUGAAUAAUAAUAAAAACAAUGCAAUCAU
This is an RNA transcript of Syngnathoides biaculeatus (alligator pipefish), 1621 nucleotides long. It is a transcript of the gene named UBX domain protein 4, with no coding region annotated. The record is from RefSeq and is a predicted model, not a curated record. The transcript has 13 exons. NCBI's taxonomy places the organism in Eukaryota, Metazoa, Chordata, Actinopteri, Syngnathiformes, Syngnathidae.